This is a non-coding RNA of Prunus avium (sweet cherry), 224 nucleotides long. The record is from RefSeq and is a predicted model, not a curated record. Lineage: Eukaryota; Viridiplantae; Streptophyta; Magnoliopsida; Rosales; Rosaceae.
UGAAGUAUAUCCUAGCAUCAAAAGUCAUAGAUUACAUGAACUCAUUAACCAAAGCUUGAAUUGGCAGCAUUAACAGUGUAAAGACCCUCGUCAAAAUCCAGUCAUUAAGACUCUUUUCGUUGAUCAUGUUUGUGAACCACAAGAAAAUGUUCGUUUGCCUCCACCAAUUGAAAACAAUUUUUAAGACUGUUUGUCUUUGUCUCUAUCGACUGGGAACAGUUUGC